Small nucleolar RNA from Lathyrus oleraceus (garden pea), 90 nucleotides. RefSeq annotates it as small nucleolar RNA SNORD96 family. The record is from RefSeq and is a predicted model, not a curated record. NCBI's taxonomy places the organism in Eukaryota, Viridiplantae, Streptophyta, Magnoliopsida, Fabales, Fabaceae. The transcript has a single exon.
UUGCCGAUGAGGAUAUCAUAUACCAAAUACCAUCUUUCGGGACUGAAUGGCUAUUUGCUUUGUUGAUACUAUUUUGCAAUUCUGAGCUCA